Molecule: long non-coding RNA, 258 nt
Organism: Amphimedon queenslandica
Lineage: Eukaryota; Metazoa; Porifera; Demospongiae; Haplosclerida; Niphatidae
Exons: 3
Source: RefSeq, a predicted model, not a curated record
AUAAUGUGUCCACUGGACAAUUCACUGUUCCAUCUGUCAGUGGACAGUGUUGCCCACCAACUAGUAGUUUCAUAAUUGAGAAGAUUACUACUACCGGUAACAGAGGAGUAAUGUUUGGGGGUGUGGGGACUGUUAAUGGUGAUGAGAGUACAGCUACUAACAGUGUUUACAUAUUUAGUGUGACACAUAGUAUAAUAAACUGGGAGAUACUGAAACCAGGAGCAAUACCUAAUGAGGAACUGUGGCCUAUGGAGAGGG